Non-coding RNA from Rana temporaria (common frog), 503 nucleotides. The record is from the annotation of a RefSeq genome assembly. NCBI's taxonomy places the organism in Eukaryota, Metazoa, Chordata, Amphibia, Anura, Ranidae.
CUAUCAAUUUAGAAACAAUGGAUACAGUUGUGCUCUUUAUUGCAAUUUUCCCUUUAAGUGUCCUCUCCCAGACUUUACGAGAAUCAGGCCCAGGGAUUGUAAAACCUUCACAACAAAUAAAAUUCACCUGUACCGUGUCUGGGUUUGAGUUAUCCAGCUGGAGUGUAGACUGGAUUAGACAACUGCCUGAAUCGAAAUUGGAGUGGAUUGGAGUUAUAUGGGGUGGUGGGAGCACUGACUAUGCUGAUUUACUAAAAAAAAGACUCUCAAUCACCAAAGACAAUGCAAAGAAAGAGGUCUACUUGCAAAUCAAUGGAGCAGAAAUUAAAGAUUCUGGAACAUAUUACUGUGCGAAACGCACGGCAACAGAAAGUAACUGACAGGGUGCUCAAUAUCCCAUUUCAUAUCUGUGUGGUAACCCACAUAGAGGAAGAGGAAGUAUAUUGCUUUCUGUUUUAUUACUAUACCUUGAGAAAGUAUGUGUUUUAAAACAUUUCAGUACA